AUUUUUAUCUCGCUGGCAGAACAUUUAUGAAAAUUGGAGCGACGCAGAGAAGAUUAGCAUGGGGCCUACGCCCCACGGAUGAUUCGCAAUAUCGUGAAAUUUUCCAGAUUUUU
RNAcentral lists this small nuclear RNA (113 nucleotides) under Glossina austeni. Lineage: Eukaryota; Metazoa; Arthropoda; Insecta; Diptera; Glossinidae. The record is from RNAcentral.